GAUGAACGCUGGCGGCGUGCCUAAUACAUGCAAGUCGAACGCUGGAAAUCUAGCUUGCUAGAUUGAAGGAGUGGCGAACGGGUGAGUAAUACAUAAGCAACCUACCCACGAAGACUGGGAUAAUCUCUGGAAACGGGGACUAAUACCGGAUAGGUAAUCGGAAGGCAUCUUCUGAUUAUUAAAGGUUAAAAACACUGGUGGUUGGGCUUAUGGCGCAUUAGUUAGUUGGUGAGGUAACGGCCCACCAAGACGAUGAUGCGUAGCCGGCCUGAGAGGGUGAACGGCCACAUUGGGACUGAGACACGGCCCAGACUCCUACGGGAGGCAGCAGUAGGGAAUUUUCGGCAAUGGGGGAAACCCUGACCGAGCAACGCCGCGUGAGUGAUGCCGGCCUUCGGGUUGUAAAGCUCUGUUGUAAGGGAAGAACGGUAGAUAGAGAAUAUCUAAAUGACGGUACCUUACCAGAAAGCCACGGCUAACUACGUG
RNAcentral lists this ribosomal RNA (486 nucleotides) under uncultured bacterium. RNAcentral describes it as "partial 16S ribosomal RNA". It matches the Rfam family "Bacterial small subunit ribosomal RNA", at positions 28 to 507 of the family's 1533-position model. The record is from RNAcentral.